Molecule: long non-coding RNA, 4398 nt
Filed under: Ananas comosus (pineapple)
Lineage: Eukaryota; Viridiplantae; Streptophyta; Magnoliopsida; Poales; Bromeliaceae
Description: long non-coding RNA (ACOM_LNC012596)
Source: RNAcentral
GGGUGGAGUUAGCUAACCACAGCUAACCCCACCUCAAAUGGGUUAUUCCGGAUUAGCUAAUCCCACCUAAACCCCAACCAAACACUAUUUUCUAUUCAUAAUAAUCCACUAUCCUUCUUAUCCCACCUAUUCCAACCAAACACUAUUUUUCACUAUCCUGAACUAACUCCAACCCCUAACCAAACACAAAAAUACUCUAACCCCACCUUAACCCUAAACUUAACCCUAUCCCUGAAAUAACUAAUUUUUUCUUAACCCCGAACCAAACGGUAGCUUAGGAUAUUUUGACGAAAUUCUAUGCGAGUACUUCAUAUAUCCUGGUCUCAACUUUGUUUCCUAGUUGGUAUUGAAGAAAAGAAUCUAGGGGUGAAGUAUCUAUUGUAAGAAACCUUCUAGUCAUGGAUACAAUAUUGUUAUAAAGCAAAGCUAGUUAUGAUUAUUUAAACAGGAAGAAGCAAAUUAUAAAAGCCAAAAAAAAAAGUUAAAAGGUCACAAGUUCAAUAUUUGUAAGUGAAAUUUAAACAGAGUACAUUGGACAGAUUAGAGAAUAAAACAUACACUGAAGAAUAGCAAUUUCCUGAAGAUGUUACGAGGUAGCUAAAACAUGUUCAACAUAAACUUGAGGCUUUUGUCUGUAAUAAUCAACUUCAUAAAAUAUGCAACUGCUGUAAAUAAGCAGCUUAUGAACUGCCUCCACUGUGUACUAAAAAGGUCAUCAUCAUCUUAGGGUUUAACUGUAUAAAUCAUCAUCGUCCGCUGAGGCACCAGAAGCAGCAAAUGGGUCGGCCACGGCGGCUCCCGCACCAGCCUCAGACCGCUCUGAGAAGCGGAACUCACUGCCGAACCCCCUCGAUUGCUGUAAAGUCUGCGCGAAUGCCUGGUAUUUCCUGAUGUCGGCGUCGCUGACACUCCGACGCGCGUACUUCAUGGAUUCCUCGAAAUGGACGGCCUUGAUCUCCGCCACGUCGUUGGCGUCGUCGUCUUCCUCCAUUGCUUCCGGGUUCUCCCUCUUCCUCCUCUCUCUUUCUAUAUCCUGUAGCAUAGACAGCAUGAUAUUUAGCCAUUUAAGUGUCAAGCAUCAGUGGCUAGCAAGAAUACCCAUGGAUUUGGAUCGGCUAGCCCACUAUAUUUUUUUCCUCAAAUUUAAAUGAAAUCAAAAGGAAUAGAAGAGUUAUCUAAUCUCAAACCAAAAUAAUACAACAAAACAAGAAAUCGCGGGCUCCUUCAGGGUAAAAUGAAAAAACAGCCAGAAACUGGAGCUCAGCUCGCUUCGCAGAGAUGAAAAAGGGAAUCUAGUAGUAAUUAUGAGGAACAUGCACAAUUCUAGCCAACUAACGAGGAAUCAAUAAGGAUUAACAACAAACCAAACAUAUUCUGCGAAAAUACAAAUGCCAGUAGCUCACCUUCUCAAUGUUCUCUCUAAUGGCAUAUUUGCAAGCCCGCUGGCAAAUCUCUGUGAUAUCUGCACCGCUAAAGCCUUGGGUGUACUUCGCAAGGGCGUGCAAAUCCACAUCCUUAGCGACAGGGGACUUCCUAAGGCAAGCUUUGAAAAUCUGGUGGCGAGAAGCCUCAUCAGGCAAAGGAAUAUAAAUUAAUUGGUCCAGCCGUCCUGGCCUUAGUAGCGCCGGGUCAAUAAUGUCGGGUCUGUUGGUCGCUCCAAUAAUAAAGACAGUUUUCUUAGCAGACAUUCCAUCCAUCUCUGUCAAGAGCUGGUUGAGAACCCUGUCUGCAGCGCCUCCUGCAUCUCCCACACUGCUACCUCUCUGCAAUGAAAGGUUACAAAGUUUACAUAAGGAAAAAGAAGUUGAAGCUCCUUAAGAGUAAAUUUUAGGUGCACUAUGUGGGUAUGCUUGGCCCCAGCUGGAGCUUCUGCUGGACAGCCAGUAGAGCUGUUCAAGAAUCCCAAACAGUUUCAUUAUAAUUUGUACAACUUAACACCGAGUUAGAAGUUAUUCCAGAUCGAAGUUUUGCUUCCGAGAUUAAAAAGUCUAUCAGGUUUCCUCGUUUACAGCUCUGUUUUUUAUUUUUUCCGGCUUUUGGUAACCAAACAAGUAACUCAUUGCUUCUGUAGUGGAAAGCUACUGGAAAGCCAAGGAUAAAUUAAUAUGUAAGUCAUAAAUAUUCUGACUCUGUUGGAGGGGUGCAAUGACAAAGUAUGGGGGCUCAAUUGCAGAUGUUCAUCAUUCCCCGACUAGGGGCAGUAAAUGGCGGUACGAACAGCAGAGCAGAUUUGAAACCACAAUGCAAAUGAAAUAAGUGAUAAAUGGUCGAGAUUGAGCCCUCAAUUUUUUCUCUUUCCAACAAUAUGACAUACGCUUUCUAUUAAAAAAUUUGUUCCAAGAAUCCGGCCAAACAGGCAUUAUGUAAAUGUAAAUGUGUCCGAGUAUAGAAUAGGAUCGUAUGACAAACCUGGGUUGCAAUGGAAUCGAGCUCAUCAAAGAAGAGGACGCAUGGCGCAGAUUGGCGAGCCUUGUCGAAAAUUUCACGAACAUUCGCUUCACUCUCGCCAAACCACAUGGUGAGCAGUUCAGGACCCUUCACACUGAUGAAGUUUGCUUGGCAUUCAUUAGCAAUGGCCUUCGCCAACAAAGUUUUGCCACAACCAGGUGGUCCGUAGAACAGGACUCCCUUGGAAGGCGACAUGCCAAACUUCUCAAACUUCUCGGGAUGCUCAACUGGAUAUUGGACGGUCUAGAAAAACACCAUGAGAAAAAUUUAGCUGCUAACUGAGAGUAUAAAUCAGGGAGGAAAUAUACAUAUCCAGCAAAAUCAUCUAUUUACAUAUAUAGAAUCUAAAAUCCUGAAUUUUCAUACAUAACACUUCAAAGAAAAGCUUCUUACGGAAUGCCCUUUAUUCUACAUUUGAUCGUUGGUGGGUUGUUAUUGGACAGGAAAAGUUUUUCAAAGAAGGCAUUUUUAGUAAGUACAAGGGCAUAUCUGAACAUUCAGAUUUUGGAGAAAUGCACAAGUGAGAAUAAAUAAUUAGUUGAAGUACAUGUGUAAAAUAUCAAGUAAAAAAGGCCAGCUCUUGAUAUACCUCCUGCAGUUCCCUCUUAACAUUAUCAAGACCACCGAUAUCUUCCCAGCUGACAUUGGGCACUUCAACAACCUGUACAAUUAAAGAAUAAUUUCAAUUUAUAAGAAAAAGCAUCCCAUGCAGAUAACAAUGUUAGAGCAAAAGCUGGUAUAAAAGAAAAUGGAAAGCAUGCAAGACUACAGUUUCACGGAGCGCAGAAGGAUUGCUGGUUCCAAGAGCCGUCUUAAAAUGUUCAUUGGUGACAGCCAUUGAGUUCAGUAUCUCUGCAUCAAUAGUUUCAUCCUCUAAGUCAAUUAUGUCCAUUUUCUCUCUUAUGCACUGUAGAGCAGCUUCAGUGCAUAGCGCAGCCAAAUCGGCACCAACAUAGCCAUGGGUGUCUUUUGCAAUUCUUUCCAAAUCAACCUGCGUAGAUGGAAUGAAGUUAGUCAAUGUAAUAUUCUAUAAGAAUGUACAACAAGGACUAGUUCAAAAGGCUGGUAACGUUACAAACAAAAGUACAAGGGAUUAAAAUGUUUACAUCUUCAGCAAGUUUCAUGUUCUUGGUAUGGAUGCGUAGAACUUCAAGACGCCCAACUUCAUCAGGCACCCCAAUAUCAAUUUCCCUAUCAAACCUCCCAAACCUUCUAAGAGCAGGGUCAAUACUGUUAGGUCGGUUUGUGGCUCCAAUCACAAUUACAUGUGCUCGAGCUUUCAAACCAUCCAUCAAAGUCAACAGUUGAGAGACAAUUCUCCUCUCAACCUCCCCAUGAGUCUUCUCUCUCUUAGGAGCAAUAGAAUCAAUCUCAUCAAUAAAAAUAAUCGAGGGUGCAUUCUUUUCUGCCUCCUCGAAAGCUUUCCUAAGAUUGCUUUCACUUUCUCCUGCUAGCUUCGACAUGAUUUCCGGACCGUUUAUAACAAAGAAGAAAGCACCUGUCUCGUUAGCAACUGCUCGUGCAAUAAGCGUUUUCCCAGAACCAGGAGGGCCGUACAGCAGAAUUCCUUUUGGUGGCUUUACUCCGAUGGAUUUGAAGAGUUGAGGGUGCCUUAGAGGUAAUUCAACUAGUUCACGAAUCUGAGCCAUCUGCUUGCGAACCCCACCAACAUCAUCAUACCCUACUUCAUCGAGCCUGUCUUCAUCCUCUCUUUUUACGGGUUCGCCCUCGCAAAAGAUUUCAGUGUCAGGGGCCACAACACAGUAUUCAGCAGGGUCAGUUUCUAUCACUUUGAACUCCACACAACGCAUACCACCUCUGACAAGGAACAGGUCACCCUUCCUUACCGGGCGAUAUGCCUCAAGGAAAUAAGCUGCAAAAAUAUGUCCAAAGGAAAAGGCCAUGAUCAACAUAAUCGACAACGUAUUUUUAUACUAAGAUAACUGAAAA